Molecule: long non-coding RNA, 803 nt
Organism: Rhododendron vialii
Lineage: Eukaryota; Viridiplantae; Streptophyta; Magnoliopsida; Ericales; Ericaceae
Exons: 2
Source: RefSeq, a predicted model, not a curated record
AAAGAGUUCAUACCGUAGAAAUCAUCAAGAACACUAAACCUAGAGAAAUUAAUUUUAAUUGGAGACGAACCAAUAUCUCAUCCAGACGUAAAAUGAAGUUUUUGCAUUUUUAAUAAUGGGCUUGGCUACAUUGAAUCAAUUCCAAAGCACACUCGCGUUUAUAAACAGGGAACGUAAGAGUGAAACGACGUAGCGCCCCUCCACGUAAAUAGAGAUCGUGUUCUGGCUUCCCACCGCCGUCCAUUUUGGUCGCCGGCCGCCGUCCCUCAACCGCCUGGUUCUCUCUCUCUCUCUCUCCAAGAUUCUGUCUCCGACAACAACAGAUUUGGGAUUCCUCUCUCCAAAAGCAAACUUUGAGUCUUCUGAGUCUACCAUAUAUGUCAAAUUUCAGAAAAAAAAACUCAGGAUGGCUUUUUGAAGUGGAAUUGUAGCUUACCGGUCGAGAUAUGGGAUGUGGAAUAUCAGCUUCUGUGGCCAUCUUCUCAUGCGGAGUACUGAUUAUAAUCAGCUGCUAGUGUUCUGAAUCUUUUGAUGAACCUUUCUGCUGAAAUCCCAUAGAGAGGUUAUUACAAGUUGAUUCUGAAUUCCUUGUAGCUUUGAGUGUGAGAGAAAUAGAAACUUAUUCAUGCAUGUCUUGAAUCUUGACAACUAUGUAGCAAAAGUAGGCACAACCGACAAAAUACUGCUUGGGUAUGCUCUAUUAUUUUGGUGGGUUGGCAAGAUCUGUAUUGGCUCUACUGAAUUGGCAUUCACAUGCUUUAGUGAAAUUGCAUAACUAAUAACAGUUCAUACCUUUCCACUAA